This 240-nucleotide unclassified non-coding RNA is filed under the name Oculimacula yallundae. Its description in RNAcentral is "partial contains 5.8S ribosomal RNA, internal transcribed spacer 2, and large subunit ribosomal RNA". The record is from RNAcentral. Lineage: Eukaryota; Fungi; Ascomycota; Leotiomycetes; Helotiales; Ploettnerulaceae.
CGCACAUUGCGCCCUCUGGUAUUCCGGGGGGCAUGCCUGUUCGAGCGUCAUUAUAACCACUCAAGCUCUCGCUUGGUAUUGGGGUUCGCGUCUUCGCGGCCUCUAAAAUCAGUGGCGGUGCCUGUCGGCUCUACGCGUAGUAAUACUCCUCGCGAUUGAGUUCCGGUAGGUUUACUUGCCAACAACCCCCAAUUUUUUAAGGUUGACCUCGGAUCAGGUAGGGAUACCCGCUGAACUUAA